GUGCCAGCAGCCGCGGUAAGACGUAGGGCGCGAGCGUUGUCCGGAUUUAUUGGGCGUAAAGAGCUCGUAGGCGGCUUGUUGCGUCGACCGUGAAAACCCGUGGCUUAACUGCGGGCUUGCGGUCGAUACGGGCGGGCUGGAGUUCGGUAGGGGAGACUGGAAUUCCUGGUGUAGCGGUGAAAUGCGCAGAUAUCAGGAGGAACACCGGUGGCGAAGGCGGGUCUCUGGGCCGAUACUGACGCUGAGGAGCGAAAGCGUGGGGAGCGAACAGGAUUAGAUACCCUGGUAGUCC
This 292-nucleotide ribosomal RNA is filed under the name uncultured bacterium. RNAcentral's name for it is "partial 16S ribosomal RNA". It matches the Rfam family "Bacterial small subunit ribosomal RNA", at positions 505 to 796 of the family's 1533-position model. The record is from RNAcentral.